UACGUAGGGGGCUAGCGUUGUCCGGAUUUAUUGGGCGUAAAGAGCGUGUAGGCGGCCAGAUAGGUCUGCUGUGAAAACUCGAGGCUCAACCUCGAGAUGUCGGCGGAAACCAUUUGGCUAGAGUCCGGAAGAGGAAAGUGGAAUUCCUGGUGUAGCGGUGAAAUGCGUAGAUAUCAGGAGGAAUACCGGUGGCGAAAGCGACUCUCUGGACGGCAACUGACGCUGAGGCACGAAAGCGUGGGGAGCAAACAGG
RNAcentral lists this ribosomal RNA (253 nucleotides) under uncultured bacterium. RNAcentral describes it as "partial 16S ribosomal RNA". It matches the Rfam family "Bacterial small subunit ribosomal RNA", at positions 524 to 776 of the family's 1533-position model. The record is from RNAcentral.